Molecule: ribosomal RNA, 468 nt
Filed under: uncultured bacterium
Lineage: Bacteria
Description: partial 16S ribosomal RNA
Rfam family: Bacterial small subunit ribosomal RNA
Source: RNAcentral
GACGAACGCUGGCGGCGUGCUUAACACAUGCAAGUCGAACGGAAAGGCCCUGCUUUUGUGGGGUGCUCGAGUGGCGAACGGGUGGGUAACACGUGAGCAACCUGCCCUUGACUUUGGGAUAACUUCAGGAAACUGGGGCUAAUACCGGAUAGGAGCUCCUGCUGCAUGGUGGGGGUUGGAAAGUUUCGGCGGUUGGGGAUGGACUCGCGGCUUAUCAGCUUGUUGGUGGGGUAGUGGCUUACCAAGGCUUUGACGGGUAGCCGGCCUGAGAGGGUGACCGGCCACAUUGGGACUGAGAUACGGCCCAGACUCCUACGGGAGGCAGCAGUGGGGAAUAUUGCACAAUGGGCGGAAGCCUGAUGCAGCAACGCCGCGUGCGGGAUGACGGCCUUCGGGUUGUAAACCGCUUUCGCCUGUGACGAAGCGUGAGUGACGGUAAUGGGUAAAGAAGCACCGGCUAACUACGUG